GAAAUACCAAACUUGAAGUCAAUCGAAUUGACGGGGUGUCUUCAAUCUGCGGUGGAUUCUGCCAAGGAAAUUCAAAGAGAGCAACAUGAGCAAGGAAAUGAUAAUAUGGUUGUCAUUGAGGAAUACACACAAGAGCCUCACACCAGCUCUUGAUGAUGAACUUGAGCCAUAGUUGAAUAAAAGCAAAAGAGGACGCGGGCAUGUUCGAUCUCAAACGCGGCCAAAAUUGAUGUGAAUAACAUAUAUAUACUCAGAGUGGCAUUUGGGCAUUUCAGUGUGGUAUGUGAUAUUUGGG
This is a long non-coding RNA of Ipomoea triloba (trilobed morning glory), 295 nucleotides long. RefSeq lists it as uncharacterized. Lineage: Eukaryota; Viridiplantae; Streptophyta; Magnoliopsida; Solanales; Convolvulaceae. The transcript has 3 exons. The record is from RefSeq and is a predicted model, not a curated record.